AACGGUCUAUACCUGCGGUACCUGCGGAAGGAUCAUUAACGCGCCGUGGAGGUUGCCUUUAAACAGGUCUGACCUUCCACCUGGCCACCCUUGUUUGUCUUUAACCUGUUGCUUUGGUGGGCCCGCUGCAAGGCCGCUGGAGAAUUUAAAAGUUUUCUGGCCCGUGCCCACCAAAGUCCUAGUGAACUCUUUGUUAAUUUUCUGCUGUCUGAGCAUUAAAAGAAACAAUUUUUAAAACUU
This 240-nucleotide unclassified non-coding RNA is filed under the name soil metagenome. Its description in RNAcentral is "partial contains 5.8S ribosomal RNA, internal transcribed spacer 2, and large subunit ribosomal RNA". The record is from RNAcentral.